ACAAUUUUUAAAAAGGAAACACUGUAAAACUGGGCAGAUUGAAUUGUUCCUUAUUACAGGAAUUGUUCAUUGUUUUUCAAUAUUUCCUAUAAUGUUUUAGAUAUCUUACUAGGGUUUGAUUUCACCAUUUAAAAGAAGUGCAAGUGGAUAAAAUCACUCAUUCAGAUCUAUUCUUCAUAAAAACCAGACCCAAAAGAGUCCCCUGUAUCAUUUUGUGUUAACAUUAUCUGUGUUAUGUGUUAACAUUAUCUGUAAAGAAAAGCAUGUGUCUGAUUUCAUGUUUUACUGACCCUUUGAGAACCUUUGAGAGAUGGUUAAUUAAAAAAUAUUUUUCUUAACCUCUUUACAGUACUUCCUAUAUGUGAAUUCCACACCUGAUGGGUGCUCCUGGCCACUGCUGAAUUGGAAACAUAAAAGCAAAAUCCUUAGGCUGGACAUCAUGGAAAAUGCUACGUAUAAGCAGUUGCCACCUACCUUCACCUCUGCAGAAAUCUGUGGAUGUGCUGAUAUUCAUCCAAGGGAAUGGACCAAGAAGAAGGAAACAGCAGCCUAUGGAUCAGUUUCCUAAAGAGAAACAAAGGCCAAAAUUCUCAGUAGAGUGAAGCUUGUCAUUUGGUUCCAAUAAGAACACGAGGAAACACACAAGCAAAGAG
Molecule: non-coding RNA, 653 nt
Organism: Taeniopygia guttata (zebra finch)
Lineage: Eukaryota; Metazoa; Chordata; Aves; Passeriformes; Estrildidae
Source: RefSeq, a predicted model, not a curated record